GAUGAACGCUAGCGGCAGGCCUAACACAUGCAAGUCGAGGGGUAGCAGGAUUAAGCUUGCUUAAUUGCUGACGACCGGCGCACGGGUGCGUAACGCGUAUGCAACCUACCUUAUACUGGGGUAUAGCCCGGAGAAAUUCGGAUUAAUCCCCCAUAGUACUAAUGAAUCGCAUGGUUUAUUAGUUAAAGCAUUGCGGUAUAAGAUGGGCAUGCGUCCUAUUAGCUAGAUGGUGAGGUAACGGCUCACCAUGGCUACGAUAGGUAGGGGGCCUGAGAGGGUGGUCCCCCACACUGGUACUGAGACACGGACCGGACUCCUACGAGAGGCAGCAGUGAGGAAUAUUGGUCAAUGGGCGCAAGCCUGAACCAGCCAUGCCGCGUGCAGGAAGAAUGCCCUAUGGGUUGUAAACUGCUUUUAUUUGGGAAUAAACCUCUUUACGUGUAGAGAGCUGAAGGUACCAAAUGAAUAAGCACCGGCUAACUCCGUGCCAGCAGCCGCGGUAA
Molecule: ribosomal RNA, 503 nt
Filed under: uncultured bacterium
Lineage: Bacteria
Description: partial 16S ribosomal RNA
Rfam family: Bacterial small subunit ribosomal RNA
Source: RNAcentral